This 450-nucleotide ribosomal RNA is filed under the name uncultured bacterium. Its description in RNAcentral is "bacterial SSU rRNA". It matches the Rfam family "Bacterial small subunit ribosomal RNA", at positions 328 to 793 of the family's 1533-position model. The record is from RNAcentral.
UCUCCAGACUCCUACGGGAGGCAGCAGUGGGGAAUAUUGCACAAUGGGGGAAACCCUGAUGCAGCGACGCCGCGUGAGCGAUGAAGUAUUUCGGUAUGUAAAGCUCUAUCAGCAGGGAAGAAGAUGACGGUACCUGACUAAGAAGCCCCGGCUAACUACGUGCCAGCAGCCGCGGUAAUACGUAGGGGGCAAGCGUUAUCCGGAUUUACUGGGUGUAAAGGGAGCGUAGACGGCAGUGCAAGUCUGAAGUGAAAGGCGGGGGCCCAACCCCCGAACUGCUUUGGAAACUGUGCUGCUGGAGUGCAGGAGAGGCAAGUGGAAUUCCUAGUGUAGCGGUGAAAUGCGUAGAUAUUAGGAGGAACACCAGUGGCGAAGGCGGCUUGCUGGACUGUAACUGACGGUGAGGAUCGAAAGCGUGGGGAGCAAACAGGAUUAGAUACCCGUGUAUAA